RNAcentral lists this ribosomal RNA (301 nucleotides) under uncultured bacterium. RNAcentral describes it as "partial 16S ribosomal RNA". It matches the Rfam family "Bacterial small subunit ribosomal RNA", at positions 509 to 807 of the family's 1533-position model. The record is from RNAcentral.
CAGUCGCCACGGUAAUACGUAGGGUGCAAGCGUUAAUCGGAAUUACUGGGCGUAAAGCGUGCGCAGGCGGUUUGUUAAGACAGAUGUGAAAUCCCCGGGCUCAACCUGGGAACUGCAUUUGUGACUGGCAAGCUAGAGUCUGGCAGAGGGGGGUGGAAUUCCGCGUGUAGCGGUGAAAUGCGUAGAGAUCGGGAGGAACAUCAGUGGCGAAGGCGGCCAUCUGGGACAACACUGACGCUGAGGCACGAAAGCGUGGGGAGCAAACAGGAUUAGAGACCCCCGUAGUCCCUGUCUCUUAUAC